UAAAAACCCCGACUUCGGAAGGGGUGUAUUUAUUAGAUACAAAACCAAUGCCCUUCGGGGCUCUUUGGUGAUUCAUGAUAACUAUACGAAUCGCACGGCCUUGCGCCGGCGAUGGUUCAUUCAAAUUUCUUCCCUAUCAACUUUCGAUGUUUGGGUAUUGGCCAAACAUGGUUGCAACGGGUAACGGAGGGUUAGGGCUCGACCCCGGAGAAGGAGCCUGAGAAACGGCUACUACAUCCAAGGAAGGCAGCAGGCGCGCAAAUUACCCAAUCCCGACUCGGGGAGGUAGUGACAAUAAAUACUGAUACAGGGCCCUUUCGGGCCUUGUAAUUGGAAUGAGUACAAUUUAAAUCCCUUAACGAGGAACAAUUGGAGGGCAAGUCUGGUGCCAGCAGCCGCGGUAAUUCCAGCUCCAAUAGCGUAUAUUAAAGUUGUUGUGGUUAAAAAGCUCGUAGUUGAACCUUGGGCCUGGCUGGCCGGUCCGCCUCACCGCGUGCACUGGUCCGGCCGGGCCUUUCCCUCUGUGGAACCCCAUACCCUUCACUGGGCGUGGCGGGGGGACACAGACAUUUACUU
RNAcentral lists this ribosomal RNA (576 nucleotides) under uncultured eukaryote. RNAcentral's name for it is "SSU rRNA". It matches the Rfam family "Eukaryotic small subunit ribosomal RNA", at positions 174 to 757 of the family's 1831-position model. The record is from RNAcentral.